This 433-nucleotide ribosomal RNA is filed under the name uncultured bacterium. RNAcentral's name for it is "partial 16S ribosomal RNA". It matches the Rfam family "Bacterial small subunit ribosomal RNA", at positions 29 to 507 of the family's 1533-position model. The record is from RNAcentral.
AACGAACGCUGGCGGCAGGCCUAACACAUGCCAGUCGAGCGGACCUUUCGGGGUCAGCGGCGGACGGGUGAGUAACGCGUGGGAAUAUGCCCUUCUCUACGGAAUAGUCCUGGGAAACUGGGGGUAAUACCGUAUACGACCUUUGGGGGGAAGAUUUAUCGGGCAAGGAUUAGCCCGCGUUGGAUUAGGUAGUUGGUGGGGUAAUGGCCUACCAAGCCGACGAUCCAUAGCUGGGUUGAGAGGAUGAUCAGCCACACUGGGACUGAGACACGGCCCAGACUCCUACGGGAGGCAGCAGUGGGGAAUCUUAGACAAUGGGGGCAACCAUGAUCGAGCCAUGCCGCGUGAGUGAUGAAGGCCUUAGGGUUGUAAAGCUCUUUCAGCUGGGAAGAUAAUGACGGUACCAGCAGAAGAAGCCCCGGCUAACUCCGUG